This 905-nucleotide ribosomal RNA is filed under the name Halomonas sp. Its description in RNAcentral is "bacterial SSU rRNA". It matches the Rfam family "Bacterial small subunit ribosomal RNA", at positions 65 to 968 of the family's 1533-position model. The record is from RNAcentral. Lineage: Bacteria; Pseudomonadati; Pseudomonadota; Gammaproteobacteria; Oceanospirillales; Halomonadaceae.
AGCGGUACAGAUCCAGCUUGCUGGAUGCUGACGAGCGGCGGACGGGUGAGUAAUGCAUAGGAAUCUGCCCGAUAGUGGGGGAUAACCUGGGGAAACCCAGGCUAAUACCGCAUACGUCCUACGGGAGAAAGGGGGCUCCGGCUCCCGCUAUGGGAUGAGCCUAUGUCGGAUUAGCUAGUUGGUGAGGUAACGGCUCACCAAGGCCACGAUCCGUAGCUGGUCUGAGAGGAUGAUCAGCCACAUCGGGACUGAGACACGGCCCGAACUCCUACGGGAGGCAGCAGUGGGGAAUAUUGGACAAUGGGGGAAACCCUGAUCCAGCCAUGCCGCGUGUGUGAAGAAGGCCCUCGGGUUGUAAAGCACUUUCAGCGAGGAAGAACGCCUAACGGUUAAUACCCGCUAGGAAAGACAUCACUCGCAGAAGAAGCACCGGCUAACUCCGUGCCAGCAGCCGCGGUAAUACGGAGGGUGCAAGCGUUAAUCGGAAUUACUGGGCGUAAAGCGCGCGUAGGUGGCUUGAUAAGCCGGUUGUGAAAGCCCCGGGCUCAACCUGGGAACGGCAUCCGGAACUGUCAAGCUAGAGUGCAGGAGAGGAAGGUAGAAUUCCCGGUGUAGCGGUGAAAUGCGUAGAGAUCGGGAGGAAUACCAGUGGCGAAGGCGGCCUUCUGGACUGACACUGACACUGAGGUGCGAAAGCGUGGGUAGCAAACAGGAUUAGAUACCCUGGUAGUCCACGCCGUAAACGAUGUCGACCAGCCGUUGGGUGCCUAGCGCACUUUGUGGCGAAGUUAACGCGAUAAGUCGACCGCCUGGGGAGUACGGCCGCAAGGUUAAAACUCAAUGAAUUUGACGGGGGCCCGCACAAGCGGUGGAGCAUGUGGUUUAAUUCGAUGCAACGCGAAGAA